AUUGUAGGCUGCAACUCGCCUACAUGAAGUCGGAAUUGCUAGUAAUCGCGGAUCAGCAUGCCGCGGUGAAUACGUUCCCGGGCCUUGUACACACCGCUCGUCACACCAUGAGAGCCGGUAACACCCGAAGUCAGUAGCCUAACCGCAAGGGGGGCGCUGCCGAAGGUGGGAUUGGUAAUUGGGGUGAAGUCGUAACAAGGUACC
RNAcentral lists this ribosomal RNA (204 nucleotides) under uncultured bacterium. RNAcentral's name for it is "partial 16S ribosomal RNA". It matches the Rfam family "Bacterial small subunit ribosomal RNA", at positions 1297 to 1500 of the family's 1533-position model. The record is from RNAcentral.